GACGAACGCUGGCGGCGUGCCUAAUACAUGCAAGUCGAACGCAGUGGGGACGGGUGAGUAACACGUGGGUAACCUCCCAUCAGAGGGGAUAACACUUGGAAACAGGUGCUAAACCGAUACGGCUGGAUGGACCCGCUGUGCAUGAGCUAGUGUGUGAGGUAACGGCUGACCAAGGCCACGAUGCCUAGCCGACAUGGUAGGGUGAUCGGCCACACUGGGACUGAGACACGGCCAAGAGUCCUACGGGAGGCAGCAGUAGGGAAUCUUCGGCAAUGGACGAAAGUCUGACCGAGCAACGCCGCGUGAGUGAAGAAGGUUUGCGGGUCGUAAAACUCUGUUGUUAGAGAAGCGGUAUCUAACCAGAAAGCCACGGCUAACUACGUGCCAGCAGCCGCGGUAAUAC
RNAcentral lists this ribosomal RNA (403 nucleotides) under uncultured bacterium. RNAcentral's name for it is "partial 16S ribosomal RNA". It matches the Rfam family "Bacterial small subunit ribosomal RNA", at positions 28 to 526 of the family's 1533-position model. The record is from RNAcentral.